GAGUUUCGAUCCUGCGUACAGACGACGCUGGCGGCGUGCCUAACACAUGCAAGUCGAACGAAAGCUUGAAUUCUAGAUUUCUUCCGGAAAUGAAGAAUGAUAUGACUGAGUGGCGGACGGGUGAGUAACGCUGGGCAACCUGCCCUUCGAGGGGGAUAGUGUCUGGAAACGGACAGUAAUACCGCAUAACGAUUUUUUACCGCAUGAUAGAAAUACCAAAACUGAGGUGCCGAAGGAUGGGCUCGCGUUGGAUUAGAUAGUUGGUGGGGUAACGGCCUACCAAGUCAACGAUCCAUAGCCGGACUGGGAGGUUGAACGGCCACAUUGGGACUGAGACACGGCCCAGACUCCUACGGGAGGCAGCAGUGGGGAAUAUUGCACAAUGGGGGAAACCCUGAUGCAGCAACGCCGCGUGAAGGAAGACGGUUUUCGGAUUGUAAACCUCUGUUCUUAGUGAAGAAAAAUGACGGUAGCUAAGGAGCAAGCCACGGCUAACUACGUG
Molecule: ribosomal RNA, 502 nt
Filed under: uncultured Eubacteriales bacterium
Lineage: Bacteria; Bacillati; Bacillota; Clostridia; Eubacteriales
Description: bacterial SSU rRNA
Rfam family: Bacterial small subunit ribosomal RNA
Source: RNAcentral